UNANNACAUGCAAGUCGAACGCUGAAGCUAGGNGCUUGCACUGGGUGGAUGAGUGGCGAACGGGUGAGUAAUACGUGAGUAACCUGCCCUUGACUCUGGGAUAAGCCUGGGAAACUGGGUCUAAUACUNGGAUAUGACCUCCUGUCGCAUGGUGGGGGGUGGAAAGGGUUUGUACUGGUUGUGGAUGGGCUCACGGCCUAUCAGCUUGUUGGUGGGGUAAUGGCCUACCAAGGCAACGACGGGUAGCCGGCCUGAGAGGGUGACCGGCCAGACUGGGACUGANACACCGCACANACUCCUACGGGAGGCAGCAGUGGGGAAUAUUGCACANCGGGCGCAAGCCUGAUGCAGCGACNCCGCGUGAGGGAUGACGGCCUUCGGGUUGUAAACUUCUUUCAGCACGGAAGAAGCGAAAGUGACGGUACGUGCANAAGAAGCGCCGGCUAACUACGUGCCAGCAGCCGCGGUAAUACGUAGGGCGCAAGCGUUGUCCGGAAUUAUUGGGCGUAAAGAGCUCGUAGGCGGUUUGUCGCGUCUGCUGUGAAAGCCCGGGGCUUAACCCCGGGUGUGCAGUGGGUACGGGCAGACUUGAGUGCAGUAGGGGAGACUGGAACUCCUGGUGUAGCGGUGAAAUGCGCAGAUAUCAGGAAGAACACCGAUGGCGAAGGCAGGUCUCUGGGCUGUUACUGAC
This 691-nucleotide ribosomal RNA is filed under the name Kocuria marina. RNAcentral describes it as "bacterial SSU rRNA". It matches the Rfam family "Bacterial small subunit ribosomal RNA", at positions 48 to 744 of the family's 1533-position model. Lineage: Bacteria; Bacillati; Actinomycetota; Actinomycetes; Micrococcales; Micrococcaceae. The record is from RNAcentral.